ACAUGGUAUGCUACCAUUUCUUUUUUUUUUAAGGCUAUAUACUGGUAUGUGUGGUGUUUUUGUUUUGUUUUGUUUUGUUUUUUUGAGACAAGAUCUCACUCUGUUAUCCAGGCUGGAGUGCAGUGGUAUGAUGACAGCUUACUGCAGCCUUGACCUCCCAGGAUCAAGUGAUUCUCCCACCUCAGCCUCCCGAGUACCUGGGACUAUAGGCAUGCAACACCACACCUAGCCGAUUUUUUAUUUUUUGUAGACAUGGGGGUCUCGCUAUGUUGUCCAGGCUGGUGUUGAACUCCUGGGCUCAAGUGAUCUGCCUGCCUUGGCCUUCCAAAGUGCUGGGACUACAGGCAUGAGCUACUGUGCCUGGCCUGUAUGUGCCUUUAUAUGCAUAUGUAUCUUUGAAGAGGGAUCCAAGAAACAGUGGCUUACCUUUAGGGAGAGAAAUCAGACAGCUGAAGGGGAAGGGGUGGAGGUUUCUUAUCAUUGUUAACCCUCUUUACGCUUCCCCAGCCAUACCGUCCAGAAUUGUGCUUCCUAUAGAAAUAGCUCCCUGAGGAGCCUUGCUCACUCCAUAGCCACUGCAGCACAGAAAAGCAGCGAAGGACUGCCAAGUGGUCCCAGGCCAUCCAGCAUUAUCUGGAUGGAAUUAAAGCCCCGCCCAACCCCACAUUACCCAUAAUGUGCUAAAAGUCUUUUUUAAAAAAUCUGUAUUCUUUAACCUGGAGAUUUUCUUUCUCUUUUUUUUUUUUUUAACUGCUCCUUGUGGAGCAGGGUGUAGGAAGUGUGCCCAGAAUAGCCAGAGAACUUAUUUCUAAGAGAAUUGAUCCUAAAGAAGAAAUUUCUAAAUUGUCAAAAAUGUAUACCAAGGAGGUUCACCAGUGUUGUUGAUAAUCAGAAAAAAACGGAACUCAACUGCAAUGAUGCAGAGACAGUGAUGGGAAAGACAGAGCAAAUUCCAGAUUGUGAGCAGCCACCUGCAUCCUCUAUGCCUGAGCGGCCCAGCCAUGAGAGCCAGCCGACCCCACAGAUGAUGCCCCUUUCAGCACCAUCCAGGGCCGAGGAGCUGGGGCAAAGGCCUGGAUAGCAGUGCCUCUGGUUUGCAGGUACAGCAGAGCCCAGGGGGGUCCCAAGUCAGCAGUCAAGGUUCUGCAAUGCUCAGAACACAGGACCAACAGACAGGUCUGUACUGCCCACCCCUCAGUUCUUUACAGUGAAGAGAAGCGCUGGACUUCAGAGACACUUAGGAAACAAAUUUCAGACACUGCUACAACCUGAUGUCUCUGAGACAUCCACACCACAAAUGGACAAGGAAGUUUAGGUUUCCCUCUUUCUUCAUCACCACGUCACGAAAAGUCCAGCUCCAAGUAAAACACGUCCCCAGAAUUACCAUCUCUGGAAUUAAACUGAAGUCCCCUCUUUUCAGGCCACCUUUGAAAAAGUUCUAAUUUAGCACAGAAUCCUCUCACAAGUUAUUCCACAGUGCUUCUUUUCCAAUCUGGACUCUAUUGUUAGUAGCCUGGUCAGUUCUCCAUUUGAGUAAUUCCAUCGUAUGUGCUUAUUAUUCAUAUAUAAUUCCGGUACCUAGGGGCAAAAAGGACUGGAUGCUGUUAAAUAAUUAGCUGCAUGCCAACUUUGGGUCCCAAAGCCAGAGCCUGUAGUCCCUGCUCCAUCAUAACGCCGGGGAAGGUGGUACAAAUCAGGCCCUCCACAGCCAGCAGUGCCAUCUGCCUCAACCAAAGAGCAGAGCGAGAGUGGAGGGCCUGGGGAGCCUCCAGGUGUAUACACCCUUCACUAACGUACCCUCCAACUCUCCCCAACUCUAGACUUCUAUGAAGAUUCUGCCCAAGGCUUUCCACUCAGUACCCAGCCAGGCACACCUGCAGCUAACCGCCCCCGGCUCCUCAGCAGUGUCAGUCUGAGGGUGAUGCUGCCACAAGCCACAAGCCCUGAGGACCCUGCUCUGUGUCACCUGGGCCAUGCUGUUGAAGCUCUGUGAUGAGCCAUACAAAAGGAACAAAAAUAGAACAAUGAACCUUUCUGUCCCCAUCACCUGACUUCAACAGUUACCAGCCCAAGGCCAAUGUUUCCUCUGUACCCCAACUCCCCAGAUUAUUUUGAAAUAUUGCAUUUUAACUCUGAAAUUCUUUUAAGCCAAUUUAGGGAAAAAAAAAUACUCACUUGCAGUCAAAUAUAUGCAAGUCUGCUGAGGCCCAAACUUCAAAACGAACUGCUCCACAGUGGCAGCCUCCUGUGUGCUUCACCAGGCCCUGGUAUUCACUAAAUGAAACAAAAAUCAGAAAGAUAAUAAUUUCUGAAUAGCUGCCUCCUGCUCUCUUUUUGUUGUUGAAAGAAAGACAAAAGAUUAGACAAAAGUCUUUUCUACAUGACAACCAGAUGCAUUUCUGCUUUUAAGGAGGCACUGUCAAUUUCCUAAGUGAAGAAUGGUUUCAGCACCUUCUUUGUCCAUGAGCUCUCUUUUUGCCAAUUUCUUAAAUUGUAUUAAGUUGCAAAAUAAAACAUUCCAAACAUUUCGAAAA
Long non-coding RNA from Pan troglodytes (chimpanzee), 2534 nucleotides. RefSeq lists it as uncharacterized. Lineage: Eukaryota; Metazoa; Chordata; Mammalia; Primates; Hominidae. The transcript has 2 exons. The record is from RefSeq and is a predicted model, not a curated record.